CUUCACCGAGCCGACCAGCAGCGGGCGUCCGUGCGCCCGGUCCCGGCCGUAGGCGGCGAGCAGGGCCCCCGCCUC
This 75-nucleotide antisense RNA is filed under the name Streptomyces sp. CB02056. RNAcentral describes it as "ASpks TB sRNA". It matches the Rfam family "ASpks TB sRNA". The record is from Rfam by way of RNAcentral. Lineage: Bacteria; Bacillati; Actinomycetota; Actinomycetes; Kitasatosporales; Streptomycetaceae.